GUUAAAGGGAAUGGGUCUCGGAAGCCGAGGGUCUGAAGUUCAAGACUCCUAGAAGGGGAGGGGAAUGAAAGCCACUCAGUGAAGAAGGUAAAACAAAUACAGUCUAUCUCUGACUUACAAUGGUUCGCCCUAAGAUUUUUGGACUUCAUGAUGGUGUGAAAGCAAUAUGAAUUCAGUAGAAACCGAACUUCAAAUUUUUGAAUUUUCCUCUGUUCCCAAGCUAGGGAUGUACUAUUGGAUACGCUCGGAUACCCUCUUGUAUGCUGGACAGUGGCAGCAAGCAGCUCCCAGUCGGCCAUGCAAUCAGGAGGGUAAACAAUGGACACACUUCCAAUUAUUCCGGACCCAGACGACCAUUCCUCUUUCACCUUCAGUACAGUAUUUGAUGAAUUGCAUGAGAUAUCGAACACUUCAUUAUAAAAUAGGCUUUGUGGGAGUUCCCGUCAUGGCGCAGUGGUUAAUGAAUCCGACUAGGAACCAUGAGGUUGCGGGUUUGGUCCCUGUCCUUGCUCAGUGGGUUGAGGAUCCGGCGUUGUCGUGAGCUGUGGUGUAGGUUGCAGAUGCAGCUCGGAUCCUGCAUUGAUGUGGCUGUGGCAUAGGCCGGUGGCUGCAGCUCUGAUUCGACCCCUGGCCUGGGAACCUCCAUAUGCCGCUGGAUUGGCUCAAGAAAUAGCAAAAAGACAAAAAAAAAAAAAAAAA
RNAcentral lists this long non-coding RNA (699 nucleotides) under Sus scrofa (pig). RNAcentral's name for it is "lncRNA (ENSSSCG00025021072.1)". Lineage: Eukaryota; Metazoa; Chordata; Mammalia; Artiodactyla; Suidae. The record is from RNAcentral.